This 466-nucleotide ribosomal RNA is filed under the name uncultured bacterium. Its description in RNAcentral is "partial 16S ribosomal RNA". It matches the Rfam family "Bacterial small subunit ribosomal RNA", at positions 28 to 507 of the family's 1533-position model. The record is from RNAcentral.
GAUGAACGCUGGCGGCGUGCUUAACACAUGCAAGUCGAACGAUGAAGCCCAGCUUGCUGGGUGGAUUAGUGGCGAACGGGUGAGUAACACGUGAGUAACCUGCCCUUAACUCUGGGAUAAGCCUGGGAAACUGGGUCUAAUACCGGAUAGGAGCGUCCACCGCAUGGUGGGUGUUGGAAAGAUUUAUCGGUUUUGGAUGGACUCGCGGCCUAUCAGCUUGUUGGUGAGGUAAUGGCUCACCAAGGCGACGACGGGUAGCCGGCCUGAGAGGGUGACUGGCCACACUGGGACUGAGACACGGCCCAGACUCCUACGGGAGGCAGCAGUGGGGAAUAUUGCACAAUGGGCGAAAGCCUGAUGCAGCGACGCCGCGUGAGGGAUGACGGCCUUCGGGUUGUAAACCUCUUUCAGUAGGGAAGAAGCGAAAGUGACGGUACCUGCAGAAGAAGCACCGGCUAACUACGUG